UGGCUCAGGACGAACGCUGGCGGCGUGCUUAACACAUGCAAGUCGAACGGAAAGGCCCUUCGGGGUACUCGAGUGGCGAACGGGUGAGUAACACGUGGGUGAUCUGCCCUGCACUUUGGGAUAAGCCUGGGAAACUGGGUCUAAUACCGAAUAGGACCACGCGCUUCAUGGUGUGUGGUGGAAAGCUUUUGCGGUGUGGGAUGGGCCCGCGGCCUAUCAGCUUGUUGGUGGGGUAAUGGCCUACCAAGGCGACGACGGGUAGCCGGCCUGAGAGGGUGACCGGCCACACUGGGACUGAGAUACGGCCCAGACUCCUACGGGAGGCAGCAGUGGGGAAUAUUGCACAAUGGGCGCAAGCCUGAUGCAGCGACGCCGCGUGAGGGAUGACGGCCUUCGGGUUGUAAACCUCUUUCAAUAGGGACGAAGCGCAAGUGACGGUACCUAUAGAAGAAGCACCGGCCAACUACGUGCCAGCAGCCGCGGUAAUACGUAGGGUGCGAGCGUUGUCCGGAAUUACUGGGCGUAAAGAGSUCGUAGGUGGUUUGUCGCGUUGUUCGUGAAAACUCACAGCUUAACUGUGGGCGUGCGGGCGAUACGGGCAGACUAGAGUACUGCAGGGGAGACUGGAAUUCCUGGUGUAGCGGUGGAAUGCGCAGAUAUCAGGAGGAACACCGGUGGCGAAGGCGGGUCUCUGGGCAGUAACUGACCGCUGAGGAGCGAAAGCGUGGGGAGCGAACAGGAUUAGAUACCCUGGUAGUCCACGCCGUAAACGGUGGGUACUAGGUGUGGGUUCCUUCCUUGGGAUCCGUGCCGUAGCUAACGCAUUAAGUACCCCGCCUGGGGAGUACGGCCGCAAGGCUAAAACUCAAAGGAAUUGACGGGGGCCCGCACAAGCGGCGGAGCAUGUGGAUUAAUUCGAUGCAACGCGAAGAACCUUACCUGGGUUUGACAUGCACAGGACGCCGGCAGAGAUGUCGGUUCCCUUGUGGCCUGUGUGCAGGUGGUGCAUGGCUGUCGUCAGCUCGUGUCGUGAGAUGUUGGGUUAAGUCCCGCAACGAGCGCAACCCUUGUCCUAUGUUGCCAGCGGGUUAUGCCGGGGACUCGUAGGAGACUGCCGGGGUCAACUCGGAGGAAGGUGGGGAUGACGUCAAGUCAUCAUGCCCCUUAUGUCCAGGGCUUCACACAUGCUACAAUGGCCGGUACAAAGGGCUGCGAUGCCGUGAGGUGGAGCGAAUCCUUUCAAAGCCGGUCUCAGUUCGGAUCGGGGUCUGCAACUCGACCCCGUGAAGUCGGAGUCGCUAGUAAUCGCAGAUCAGCAACGCUGCGGUGAAUACGUUCCCGGGCCUUGUACACACCGCCCGUCACGUCAUGAAAGUCGGUAACACCCGAAGCCGGUGGCCUAACCCCUUGUGAAGGAAGCCGUCAAAGGUGGAAUCGGCAAU
RNAcentral lists this ribosomal RNA (1442 nucleotides) under Mycolicibacterium sp. RNAcentral describes it as "bacterial SSU rRNA". Lineage: Bacteria; Bacillati; Actinomycetota; Actinomycetes; Mycobacteriales; Mycobacteriaceae. The record is from RNAcentral.